GGGCGCUUAGCUCAGUUGGUAGAGCGUCUGCCUUACAAGCAGAAUGUCGGCGGUUCGAUCCCGUCAGCGCCCAC
This 74-nucleotide transfer RNA is filed under the name Acinetobacter baumannii. RNAcentral describes it as "tRNA-Val". It matches the Rfam family "tRNA". Rfam says of the family: Transfer RNA (tRNA) molecules are approximately 80 nucleotides in length. Lineage: Bacteria; Pseudomonadati; Pseudomonadota; Gammaproteobacteria; Moraxellales; Moraxellaceae. The record is from RNAcentral.